AUUGAACGCUGGCGGCAGGCCUAACACAUGCCAGUCGAACGGAAACAGGAAGAAGCUUGCUUCUUUGCUGACGAGUGGCGGACGGGUGUGUAAUGUCUGGGAAACUGCUUGAUGGAGGGGGAUAACUACUGGAAACGGUAGCUAUUACCGCAUAACGUCGCAAGACCAAAGAGGGGGACCUUCGGGCCUCUUGCCAUCGGCUGUGCCCAGAUGGGAUUAGCUAGUAGGUGGGGUAACGGCUCACCUAGGCCACGAUCCCUAGCUGUUCUGAGAGGAUGACCAGCCACACUGGAACUGAGACACGGUCCAGACUCCUACGGGAGGCAGCAGUGGGGAAUAUUGCGCAAUGGGCGCAAGCCUGAUGCAGCCAUGCCGCGUGUAUGAAGAAGGCCUUCGGAUUGUAAAGUACUUUCAGCGGGGAGGAAGGGAGUAGAGUUAAUACCUUUGCUCAUUGACGUUACCCGCAGAAGAAGCACCGGCUAACUACGUG
Molecule: ribosomal RNA, 490 nt
Filed under: uncultured bacterium
Lineage: Bacteria
Description: partial 16S ribosomal RNA
Rfam family: Bacterial small subunit ribosomal RNA
Source: RNAcentral